This 435-nucleotide ribosomal RNA is filed under the name uncultured bacterium. RNAcentral's name for it is "bacterial SSU rRNA". It matches the Rfam family "Bacterial small subunit ribosomal RNA", at positions 30 to 457 of the family's 1533-position model. The record is from RNAcentral.
AUUGAACGCUGGCGGCAGGCUUGACACAUGCAAGUCGAACGGUAACGGGAAGGAAGCUUGCUUUCUUUGCCGACGAGUGGCGGACGGGUGAGUAAUGCUUGGGAAUCUGUCUUAGGGAGGGGGAUAACGACGGGAAACUGUCGCUAAUACCGCGUAAUGUCUAAGGACGAAAGGAUGGGACCUUCGGGCCACCUGCCGUAAGAUGAGCCCAAGUGGGAUUAGGUAGUUGGUGAGGUAAGGGCUCACCAAGCCGACGAUCUCUAGCUGGUCUGAGAGGAUGACCAGCCACACUGGAACUGAGACACGGUCCAGACUCCUACGGGAGGCAGCAGUGGGGAAUAUUGCGCAAUGGGGGCAACCCUGACGCAGCCAUGCCGCGUGAAUGAAGAAGGCCUUCGGGUUGUAAAGUUCUUUCGGUGAUGAGGAAGGUGGGAU